CAGUGAUAAACUGGAGGAAGGUGGGGAUGACGUCAAGUCAUCAUGGCCCUUACGACCAGGGCUACACACGUGCUACAAUGGCGCAUACAAAGAGAAGCGACCUCGCGAGAGCAAGCGGACCUCAUAAAGUGCGUCGUAGUCCGGAUUGGAGUCUGCAACUCGACUCCAUGAAGUCGGAAUCGCUAGUAAUCGUGGAUCAGAAUGCCACGGUGAAUACGUUCCCGGGCCUUGUACACACCGCCCGUCACACCAUGGGAGUGGGUUGCAAAAGAAGUAGGUAGCUUAACCUUCGGGAGGGCGCUUACCACUUUGUGAUUCAUGACUGGGGUGAAGUCGUAACAAGGUAACCGUAGGGGAACC
This 360-nucleotide ribosomal RNA is filed under the name Escherichia coli. RNAcentral describes it as "bacterial SSU rRNA". It matches the Rfam family "Bacterial small subunit ribosomal RNA", at positions 1153 to 1512 of the family's 1533-position model. The record is from RNAcentral. Lineage: Bacteria; Pseudomonadati; Pseudomonadota; Gammaproteobacteria; Enterobacterales; Enterobacteriaceae. RNAcentral also lists the same sequence under 14 other names.